UCCAGACUCCUACGGGAGGCAGCAGUGGGGGAUAUUGCACAAUGGGGGAAACCCUGAUGCAGCGACGCCGCGUGAGUGAAGAAGUAUUUCGGUAUGUAAAGCUCUAUCAGCAGGGAAGAAAGAAGACGGUACCUGACUAAGAAGCCCCGGCUAACUACGUGCCAGCAGCCGCGGUAAUACGUAGGGGGCAAGCGUUAUCCGGAUUUACUGGGUGUAAAGGGAGCGUAGACGGCAAUACAAGUCGGAAGUGAAAUACCCGGGCUCAACCUGGGAACUGCUUUGGAAACUGUAUGGCUGGAGUGCUGGAGAGGUAAGCGGAAUUCCUAGUGUAGCGGUGAAAUGCGUAGAUAUUAGGAGGAACACCAGUGGCGAAGGCGGCUUACUGGACUGUAACUGACGUUGAGGCUCGAAAGCGUGGGGAGCAAACAGGAUUAGAUACCCUCGUA
RNAcentral lists this ribosomal RNA (446 nucleotides) under uncultured bacterium. Its description in RNAcentral is "bacterial SSU rRNA". It matches the Rfam family "Bacterial small subunit ribosomal RNA", at positions 330 to 792 of the family's 1533-position model. The record is from RNAcentral.